This 1251-nucleotide ribosomal RNA is filed under the name metagenome. RNAcentral's name for it is "bacterial LSU rRNA". It matches the Rfam family "Bacterial large subunit ribosomal RNA", at positions 1659 to 2925 of the family's 2925-position model. The record is from RNAcentral.
ACAGGUGGAUGAGGAGAGAAUCCUAAGGCCGACGGGAGAAGCAUUGUUAAGGAACUCGGCAAAAUGACUCCGUAACUUCGGGAGAAGGAGUGCCAGCGAGAGCUGGCCGCAGAGAAUUGGCCCAAGCAACUGUUUAGCAAAAACACAGGUCUAUGCAAAACCGUAAGGUGAAGUAUAUGGGCUGACGCCUGCCCGGUACUGGAAGGUUAAGAGGAGAGGUUAGCGGCAACGCGAGGCUUUAAAUUUAAGCCCCAGUAAACGGCGGCCGUAACUAUAACGGUCCUAAGGUAGCGAAAUUCCUUGUCGGGUAAGUUCCGACCCGCACGAAAGGCGUAAUGAUUUGGGCACUGUCUCAACAAUGCACCCGGUGAAAUUGAAAUACCAGUGAAGAUGCUGGUUACCUGCGCCAGGACGGAAAGACCCCAUGGAGCUUUACUCCAGCUUGAUACUGGGAUUCGGUAUUGCAUGUACAGGAUAGGUGGGAGGCUAGGAAGUGAUAACGCCAGUUGUCACGGAGCCGCUGUUGGGAUACCACCCUUGCAGUAUUGGAUUUCUAACCAGCGACCAUGAACUGGUCGGGGGACAAUGUCAGGUGGGGAGUUUGACUGGGGCGGUCGCCUCCGAAAGGGUAUCGGAGGCGCUCAAAGGUUCCCUCAGAAUGGACGGAAACCAUUCGAAGAGUGCAAAGGCAGAAGGGAGCUUGACUGCGACACCGACGGGUGGAGCAGGUACGAAAGUAGGACUUAGUGAUCCGGUGGUAUAAAGUGGGAUUGCCAUCGCUCAACGGAUAAAAGCUACCCUGGGAUAACAGGCUUAUCACUCCCAAGAGUUCACAUCGACGGAGUGGUUUGGCACCUCGAUGUCGGCUCAUCGCAUCCUGGGGCUGAAGUAGGUCCCAAGGGUUGGGCUGUUCGCCCAUUAAAGCGGUACGCGAGCUGGGUUCAGAACGUCGUGAGACAGUUCGGUCCCUAUCCGGCGUGGGCGUAGGAUAUUUGAGAGGAGCUGUCCUUAGUACGAGAGGACCGGGAUGGACUGGCCGCUGGUGUAUCUGUUGCAUACCAAAUGCAUGGCAGAGUAGCCAAGCCGGGACGGGAUAAACGCUGAAGGCAUCUAAGCGUGAAGCCCCCCUCAAGAUGAGAUAUCCCUACGUAAGUAGUAAGACCCCUUGAAGACGACGAGGUAGAUAGGUCAGAGGUGGAAGUACAGUAAUGUAUGGAGCUGACUGAUACUAAUCGGUCGAGGGCAUGACCC